Molecule: long non-coding RNA, 234 nt
Filed under: Capsicum annuum
Lineage: Eukaryota; Viridiplantae; Streptophyta; Magnoliopsida; Solanales; Solanaceae
Description: long non-coding RNA (CANN_LNC002053)
Source: RNAcentral
UUCAGUAUCAGUCAUGGUAGUUAUAAGUAAACCAUGUAUUAGCUUACAGGUCAUGCUAUCACGUAUUCAUGGUCCCAGUUUCUAUAUAUGUGUGUUUGCACUCCCACGUUCAUAUUAGUCAGUCAGUGUUAUUCAUGCAUGAAACCCUACCUUCCUCGUAUACUCAGUACUCUAGUUGUACUGAUGCAUUUUCGCUAUGGUGCUUUCUUUUCAUGUUACAUCAUAGGUUCCGAG